This 742-nucleotide long non-coding RNA is filed under the name Manihot esculenta (cassava). RNAcentral's name for it is "long non-coding RNA (MESC_LNC000418)". The record is from RNAcentral. Lineage: Eukaryota; Viridiplantae; Streptophyta; Magnoliopsida; Malpighiales; Euphorbiaceae.
GCUGAACUCACUGCUGGGGUCCUCGGUUCCUCGGGUCCGAACCUACACAGGUGGACUCAAAUGAGGGACCAAACAACUAGAACAUAACUCUAAAAACAUCCCCCAAAAACCCCCUAAAACACCUCAAACAAUCAUGCAAAAACAUGCAAAGGAAGGCAGAACAGGGCAGGUUCGGCGGCACCUUCGGCGGCCGAAAGUCCCUCCAGAGCCGAAACCUAGGCAAGUUCGGCGGCACCUUCGGCGGCCGAAAGUCCCAGACAGAGACGAAAGUCUCUUUUCGGGGGCAACUUCGGCAGCCGAAAGGCCUGCCUCCCCAGCCAUGUUCGACGGCCGAAAGUUCCUUCGGCUGCCGAAUCUGGUUUCUGCCAAAGGGCAGAAACUUGGCUCCUUUAUGCACAUUUGCCUCCCAAAUCCUUCAACAUGCAUAUAACUCAUUCAAAUCAUGCAAAUAUACAUACAUUGGCUCCUAGGGGCUUCAAACUAACUUAAACCCCAACUACAACACACAACAACAACUCAAAUCCAACAUACAUGCUCAAAACAUAACAUUAACUCAAAAACCUAACUAUGAGCUAAACAUGCAUUCUACCCCAUAGAUCUUGCAUAAAACUUACUUUAAACAUGAAAUGAGCUUAAGAUCGGCUCUUACCUCUUGAAGAUCGAGAGAGAGACGUCCUAAACUCGAAGGUGGGAGAUUUUGAGUUCUUGAACCUCAAAGCUCCAAAACUUGCUUUAAACUCGA